UUUUAGUUAGCUCAGUUGGUAGAGCGCUUCACUGCAAAUGGAGGGGUCGCUGGUUCGAUACCAGGAUCAGACG
Ixodes scapularis (black-legged tick) is the source of this 73-nucleotide non-coding RNA. Lineage: Eukaryota; Metazoa; Arthropoda; Arachnida; Ixodida; Ixodidae. The record is from Rfam.